This 465-nucleotide ribosomal RNA is filed under the name Vreelandella stevensii. RNAcentral's name for it is "partial 16S ribosomal RNA". It matches the Rfam family "Bacterial small subunit ribosomal RNA", at positions 338 to 795 of the family's 1533-position model. Lineage: Bacteria; Pseudomonadati; Pseudomonadota; Gammaproteobacteria; Oceanospirillales; Halomonadaceae. The record is from RNAcentral.
CCUACGGGGGGCAGCAGUGGGGAAUAUUGGACAAUGGGGGCAACCCUGAUCCAGCCAUGCCGCGUGUGUGAAGAAGGCCCUCGGGUUGUAAAGCACUUUCAGUGAGGAAGAACGCCUGGUGGUUAAUACCCAUCAGGAAAGACAUCACUCACAGAAGAAGCCCCGGCUAACUCCGUGCCAGCAGCCGCGGUAAUACGGAGGGUGCGAGCGUUAAUCGGAAUUACUGGGCGUAAAGCGCGCGUAGGUGGCUUGAUAAGCCGGUUGUGAAAGCCCCGGGCUCAACCUGGGAACGGCAUCCGGAACUGUCAAGCUAGAGUGCAGGAGAGGAAGGUAGAAUUCCCGGUGUAGCGGUGAAAUGCGUAGAGAUCGGGAGGAAUACCAGUGGCGAAGGCGGCCUUCUGGACUGACACUGACACUGAGGUGCGAAAGCGUGGGUAGCAAACAGGAUUAGAUACCCUGGUAGUC